GGGGAUUUAGUUCAGUGGUAUAAACACCUGCUUGGUGAGCACGAGAUCGUGAGUUCAAUCCCUG
RNAcentral lists this transfer RNA (64 nucleotides) under Cavia porcellus (domestic guinea pig). It matches the Rfam family "tRNA". Rfam says of the family: Transfer RNA (tRNA) molecules are approximately 80 nucleotides in length. Lineage: Eukaryota; Metazoa; Chordata; Mammalia; Rodentia; Caviidae. The record is from Rfam by way of RNAcentral.